Molecule: non-coding RNA, 5981 nt
Organism: Salmo salar (Atlantic salmon)
Lineage: Eukaryota; Metazoa; Chordata; Actinopteri; Salmoniformes; Salmonidae
Source: RefSeq, a predicted model, not a curated record
CGCAUCUCUUUGUUGGUCCAGCGGCAGCUGCGCUCAUGUUGUUGUAGCUAGUUACUCUCUCUCUCCGGAAAUAUUUUUUCUCUUUCGAAAUAUUUCGUCUCUUGUUUCGUUGCGGCCUGUACACAUCCUCGUAUCUAGCGUUUGGUAUCAUACCUUGUCACAAUAUCAAGUUAACCGAGUAAUGGACUCAGACGAGGGGUACAAUUAUGAAUUCGACGAGGAGGAAGAGGAAUGCAGCGAAGACAGCGCUGAGGAGGAUCCCGAAGACGACACCCUGGAAGUGGAGUUGGAUGAUCCUGUUGUGGCCGGUGGAGAGCGAGAUGAAUGUGGGGAGACCGGGGGCAGUGGCCUAGGGCCCGGUCAAGACGAGGAGGACUAUCGGUUCGAGGUUCUGACUGCUGAACAGAUCCUUCAGCAUAUGGUCGAGUGUAUCAGGGAGGUCAAUGAUGUCAUCCAGAACCCUGCAACGAUAACAAGAAUACUUCUUAGUCACUUCAACUGGGACAAAGAGAAACUGAUGGAAAGAUAUUUUGAUGGGAACCUUGACAAAUUGUUCUCGGAAUGCCAUGUCAUCAACCCCAGUAAGAAGUCGAGGACACGGCUGAUGAACACGAGGUCCUCUGCUCAGGAUCUUCCCUGUCAGAUCUGCUACCUGAACUACCCAAACACGUACUUCACUGGCCUGGAGUGUGGACACAAGUUCUGCAUGCAGUGUUGGGGGGACUACUUGACUACCAAAAUCAUCGAGGAGGGGAUGGGACAGACAAUUUCCUGCCCUGCUCACAGCUGUGAUAUAUUGGUGGACGACAACACAGUCAUGAGACUGAUCACAGAGUCCAAGGUGAAGUUGAAGUACCAACACUUGAUUACCAAUAGUUUUGUAGAGUGCAAUCGACUGUUAAAAUGGUGCCCAGCGCCAGACUGCCAUCACGUAGUCAAAGUCCAGUACCCAGAUGCUAAGCCUGUGAGAUGCACAUGUGGCCGGCAGUUUUGCUUCAAUUGUGGUGAGAACUGGCAUGAUCCCGUCAAGUGUAAGUGGUUGAGGAAAUGGAUCAAGAAGUGUGACGAUGACAGUGAGACGUCCAACUGGAUCGCAGCCAAUACAAGGGAGUGCCCCAAAUGCCACGUGACCAUUGAGAAGGACGGCGGCUGCAACCACAUGGUGUGUCGGAACCAGAGCUGCAAGGCAGAGUUCUGCUGGGUCUGCCUGGGGCCCUGGGAACCACACGGCUCUGCCUGGUACAACUGCAACCGCUACAAUGAGGAUGAUGCCAAGGCAGCGAGGGACGCCCAAGAGGUAACACGGUCCAGGGCAGCCCUGCAGAGGUACCUGUUCUACUGCAACCGUUACAUGAACCACAUGCAGUCGCUGCGCUUCGAGCACAAGCUGUACGCCGGGGUCAAGGCCAAGAUGGAGGAGAUGCAGCAUCACAACAUGUCCUGGAUCGAGGUGCAGUUCCUGAAGAAGGCCGUGGACGUGCUGUGUCAGUGUCGCUCCACACUCAUGUUCACCUACGUCUUCGCCUUCUACCUGAAGAAGAACAACCAGUCCAUCAUCUUUGAGGUAACUUUACAGCUAUAGUCCAAACCCAAACCCUUCUACCUGAAGAAGAACAACCAGUCCAUCAUCUUUGAGGUAACUUUACAGCUAUAGUCCAAACCCAAACCCUUCUACCUGAAGAAGAACAACCAGUCCAUCAUCUUUGAGGUAACUUUACAGCUAUAGUCCAAACCCAAACCCUUCUACCUGGAAAAGAACAACCGGUCCAUCAUCUUUGAGGUAACUUUACAGCUAUAGUCCAAACCCAAACCCUUCUACCUGGAAAAGAACAACCGGUCCAUCAUCUUUGAGGUAACUUUACAGCUAUAGUCCAAACCCUUCUACCUGAAGAAGAACAACCAGUCCAUCAUCUUUGAGGUAACUUUACAGCUAUAGUCCAAACCCAAACCCUUCUACCUGAAGAAGAACAACCAGUCCAUCAUCUUUGAGGUAACUUUACAGCUAUAGUCCAAACCCAAACCCUUCUACCUGAAGAAGAACAACCAGUCCAUCAUCUUUGAGGUAACUUUACAGCUAUAGUCCAAACCCAAACCCUUCUACCUGAAGAAGAACAACCAGUCCAUCAUCUUUGAGGUAACUUUACAGCUAUAGUCCAAACCCAAACCCUUCUACCUGAAGAAGAACAACCAGUCCAUCAUCUUUGAGGUAACUUUACAGCUAUAGUCCAAACCCAAACCCUUCUACCUGAAGAAGAACAACCAGUCCAUCAUCUUUGAGGUAACUUUACAGCUAUAGUCCAAACCCAAACCCUUCUACCUGAAGAAGAACAACCAGUCCAUCAUCUUUGAGGUAACUUUACAGCUAUAGUCCAAACCCAAACCCUUCUACCUGAAGAAGAACAACCAGUCCAUCAUCUUUGAGGUAACUUUACAGCUAUAGUCCAAACCCAAACCCUUCUACCUGAAGAAGAACAACCAGUCCAUCAUCUUUGAGGUAACUUUACAGCUAUAGUCCAAACCCAAACCCUUCUACCUGAAGAAGAACAACCAGUCCAUCAUCUUUGAGGUAACUUUACAGCUAUAGUCCAAACCCAAACCCUUCUACCUGAAGAAGAACAACCAGUCCAUCAUCUUUGAGGUAACUUUACAGCUAUAGUCCAAACCCAAACCCUUCUACCUGAAGAAGAACAACCAGUCCAUCAUCUUUGAGGUAACUUUACAGCUAUAGUCCAAACCCAAACCCUUCUACCUGAAGAAGAACAACCAGUCCAUCAUCUUUGAGGUAACUUUACAGCUAUAGUCCAAACCCAAACCCUUCUACCUGAAGAAGAACAACCAGUCCAUCAUCUUUGAGGUAACUUUACAGCUAUAGUCCAAACCCAAACCCUUCUACCUGAAGAAGAACAACCAGUCCAUCAUCUUUGAGGUAACUUUACAGCUAUAGUCCAAACCCAAACCCUUCUACCUGAAGAAGAACAACCAGUCCAUCAUCUUUGAGGUAACUUUACAGCUAUAGUCCAAACCCAAACCCUUCUACCUGAAGAAGAACAACCAGUCCAUCAUCUUUGAGAACAAUCAGGCUGACUUGGAGAACGCUACAGAGGUUCUGUCUGGUUAUCUGGAGCGGGACAUCUCCCAGGACUCUCUGCAGGACAUCAAACAGAAAGUACAGGACAAGUACAGAUACUGUGAGAGUCGGCGGCGGGUGCUGCUGCAGCAUGUGCAUGAGGGCUAUGAGAAGGACCUCUGGGAAUACAUAGAAGAUUAAGGAUAGACUCUUUACUAAAAAACCCUCUCCAGACUAGAGCGCUGAUGCAAUGCCACGGGGCAGCACUGGUUUUCACCUAUUGUUGCUGAUCUUCCCAAUAUUGCGUUUUUUUUUUUUCUUGGGUUUUGUUUAAUGGAAAAGUUUAAAUAAAUUAUAUCAAAAUAAAAAAAAAAGGUAGAAUAUUUCAAACGUUAAUCGUACAACAGUAUUGUUUGUAGCAGAUUGGAUUGUGAGGACAUAAAAUAACUCCCCGCUUCUCUCAAUUGGUCACUAUUGUAACAUCAUCACCCCCCCACUCUGUUCAGUUUUCCAGUGAGAUGUAUUUUAUUUGUUUAAUUUUUAAGUACCCUUGUGUGGGACAUGGGUUUGUGUUCAACACAGUCCAACUGUUCAAGCCAUGUUCAUUAAAUGUGGUUAGAUCACAUGUAGGGUUUUUGAAUGUUGAUUUGCUGAUUGUAAGGUGCUUAACCAUGUGGGUUGGCAGGAAAAACCAUAGGGAGUGCAGAAAAAGGAAACAUGUUUUUCUAUUUGUAAAUAACGCAUAUGCAUGGAACAGCAAGUGUGGCCGUUUCUUUUAUUUGUCUUUUUAUUUUAUUUUUGAAAAAUAUUUAUUCAUAUUUUUUUUCAAAUAUUCAAUAUAGUUGCUGUGUAGAAGACAAGUUGCCUCCUGCUUUAAAAGAAAAUGUAUUCUUUGUGAGGGUUUGGAAUUUGUGUAGCUUCACCCAGGAGAACGAGGACAGAAACAGUUUGAACGAGCGAUAAAACUCUGACAGGGUUGUAGUAGCUUUCAAAAGCAAUUCUGACAAAACAAAAUCCACCUAAAGGACAACAUUAGGUGAGAGAAUGAGACUAAAGAACAAACCUUUUUUUUCAUUUUUACAGCCAGCCAGACUGUAGUUCAGGUAAUACAUAGAUUUAUUCAUAGUUGGAAUUGACCUUGCAACCUUCAGAGGUUAUCAACUAAUUGUACCUGAGGGGGUUUUGAGAAAUUAGAGAAUGACUUGGAAAGGACUCCGCUGUGUCCUAAGUGGCUCCCUAUUCUCUAUAUAGUGCACUAUGGGCCCCUGGUCAAAAGUAAUGCAUUAUAUAGGGAAUAGAGUGCCAUUUGGGAUGAAGGUCAUGUCCUGUUUGUUCUAACCCCCCUCCUUCCCACUCCCUCUUGUUUUUGUUCUUCCAUCACCACCCCUCCUGUUUCUCCUUAGAAGUUGUCAUUUCCAGAUAACACACUACCAACUGUUUCAUGAGAGCCAAAUUGAGUGACAUUCACUCAUAAAAAAAUAAAAUAAACAAAUGUAUUUCUUUUUUCAGACUUGAGCUUUUCCUCAUGGUUUUUUGUAUGCACCUUGGUCACCUGGGAGGCGGUAGGGCACCUUGGUCACCUGGGAGGCGGUAGGGCACCUUGGUCACCUGGGAGGCGGUAGGGCACCUUGGUCACCUGGGAGGCGGUAGGGCACCUUGGUCACCUGGGAGGCGGUAGGGCACCUUGGUCACCUGGGAGGCGGUAGGGCACCUUGGUCACCUGGGAGGCGGUAGGGCACCUUGGUCACCUGGGAGGCGGUAGGGCACCUUGGUCACCUGGGAGGCGGUAGGGCACCUUGGUCACCUGGGAGGCGGUAGGGCACCUUGGUCACCUGGGAGGCGGUAGGGCACCUUGGUCACCUGGGAGGCGGUAGGGCACCUUGGUCACCUGGGAGGCGGUAGGGCACCUGGGAGGCGGUAGGGCACCUUGGUCACCUGGGAGGCGGUAGGGCACCUUGGUCACCUGGGAGGCGGUAGGGCACCUUGGUCACCUGGGAGGCGGUAGGGCACCUUGGUCACCUGGGAGGCGGUAGGGCACCUGGGAGGCGGUAGGGCACCGUGGUCACCUGGGAGGCCGUAUGUAAUUCCCUGAAAGGGCUGUUUUUAAACUUGAGUCAGUCAGCAUGACAACAUGACCUAGUCCUAGGCCCCUAAAGAAGUAGAAACUGACAGACCUGGCUGACAGGAUGUACCCCCCCCCUUUUUAUGUGUUCUGUAAAGGAGUAUUGUUUUCGUUAGCAGUUAGUUGAGCUAUACAAACUGCUUCGUGGGCUUUAAGAGUCUUGUCUGACAGCUGCAUUUCAAAAAAAUUAAAAGACUGGGCAUGAAGAAGCGCUGAUGUUUUGAGAUGUCUGUUGUUGUAAAGCUUUGGCAUCUAGGCUAGACUAUGAGAGUGGCGUUUACACUGGUUGCUAGUCUGAAAUGCCACCCUAUUCCCUAUAUAGUGCACUACUUUUGACCACAGACCAAUGGGGAGUAGAGCGCUAUAGGGGAUAGGUUGUCAUUUGGAAAGCAGCCUGGGUUGUACCAACAUGGUAACAUGAUGCCAUUUACCUUCAUAACACUUUCCAGUUUUAUACGAGCUUACGAGGUCCAAAACAAGACCAACCCUAGCCCAGGGAAGUGGCUGGACUAGUCACAGUGCUGUCCUCAGUCAGUGUUUGUUGGAAUACAUUUCUCAAUGCACUGUAGCCCUCGAGAAAGACAAAAGUCUGGCAUUUGACAUUGAUGUGGCUGACAAGACGGAAACAAAGAUUUCUCUUCACCAAAGUGUGAAUCAUCUGAAAAUACUAUUUUUAUCUCUUGUUUCUGAUACUUUCUGUGAAAUGGGAAGUUCAGAUACAGUUGCUUUCAUGUAUUAUAACCAUUCUUACAAACAAAAUGUCCUAUUUAAAUAAAUGUCAUUCAAAAGGAA